This 489-nucleotide ribosomal RNA is filed under the name Mycosphaerella sp. 284e. RNAcentral describes it as "eukaryotic LSU rRNA". The stretch from base 153 to 306 matches the Rfam family "5.8S ribosomal RNA". The record is from RNAcentral. Lineage: Eukaryota; Fungi; Ascomycota; Dothideomycetes; Mycosphaerellales; Mycosphaerellaceae.
AGGGAUCAUUAGUGAGUGGGUUUUUACCUGAUUCCAACCCUUUGUGAACCAACUUGUUGCUUCGGGGGCGACCCUGCCGUUCGCGGCCGCGGCGCCCCCGGAGGCCAUCAAACACUGCAUUUUUACGUCGGAGUCUCAAGUAAAUUGAACAAAACUUUCAACAACGGAUCUCUUGGUACUGGCAUCGAUGAAGAACGCAGCGAAAUGCGAUAAGUAAUGUGAAUUGCAGAAUUCAGUGAAUCAUCGAAUCUUUGAACGCACAUUGCGCCCCCUGGUAUUCCGGGGGGCAUGCCUGUUCGAGCGUCAUUUCACCAGUCAAGCCUGGCUUGGUAUUGGGCGUCGCGGGUCUCCGCGCGCCUUGAAGUAUCCGGCUGAGCUGUCUUGAACCCUAGCGUUGUGAAUCAUAUUCGCUAAAGGUGAGGACGGCCGCGGCCGUUAAAUCUCUCAAAGGUUGACCUCGGAUCAGGUAGGGAUACCCGCUGAACUUAA